This is a long non-coding RNA of Oryza sativa Japonica Group (Japanese rice), 2794 nucleotides long. RefSeq lists it as uncharacterized. The record is from RefSeq and is a predicted model, not a curated record. Lineage: Eukaryota; Viridiplantae; Streptophyta; Magnoliopsida; Poales; Poaceae.
CGGUGGUCCUCGCGCGGCUCUUCCUGCUGCUCCUCACACGACUCCCGCGAUGAUCGCGCGCUGACCACGCCUCGCUCUUCUCGAGCCGCUCCUCCUCGCUGAUUCCAACAGCGACGGUGAUUCCAAUGAUUCCACCGAUUCCACCGCUGUUGGAUCUCCACUGAUUCCAUCGAUUCCACCAAUUUCGCCCCGAAGCGGUGACUCCGCCACAUAAAACCCAGCCACGAUGACUCCGCCGUGCGCAUCCUCUCUCGCUCGCUCCUCACUCGACCAACGCCGCUAGCGCACCACCACAACGCCGGAUCAGCGCCGAGCCACCACCGCACAACCGCAUCCCCUUCCGCCGGUGCCACGCCCGGGACUGCCCCCGAUGACGACGGACGCACGCCCCCAUUGCUUCUCCGCAAAUAGCUCCUGAGCUUCAUGCGAAGCCCGCGCCGGCCCUAGGAAAGCCUCUCCUCCGCGAAUCCCUCCUCACGGAAGCCCUAAGCUCCUCUGUCUUCCUCAGGGAGCGUCGCCGAUCCGUCGGUCGCUGGUCACCCUCCCGUCGCCGGAUCCCCUCCCGUCAUCGGCUGCCACCCGGUGUCUAUCGCCGUCGCUGUUGGAUAUAGGUCGUUGUCCGGCGUUGACUGCUCUCGCUAUUGGAUCAAGGCUGUCGCCCAUCGUCGGGCAUCAUCCACUGUCACCGCCGCUCACCGGCUUGCUGCCUGAUCGAGCAGGCCAGCACCCAUCUCCAGCGCCCGUCAGGUGAACCAAGUACAGAGGAUGCGGUGGAGGCGUGGGGGCUAAUCACUAAUCAGUCAGAUUUUUGUGGAUCGAGCUUAUUACCUCAGUUUUCUCCUCUUCGGUGAUGGAGCCGGUUCAGGUGCGCUGCAAAGGAAAUAGUUGCCACACCCCCAGAAACCAAGUGAAUGUGCUCUUAUCCUGAUACGGCAUAGUGAAUCAUUGUGGACUGACUGAAAUCUGUUUUAUUGUGGAAUGAGCAAAAAUUGUUUACUUGAUGUCGAGAAGGCUAUAUAUGUCGGGAGCUGUUUGGAAAGGGUUUAAUCGGAGCAACGUUAUUGGGAAAGUAUUUUGCGGGGCAGUUUGGAAAGGGUUUUGUCGGAGCAAUUCUGGGAAUUAUACUUUUAUUGGAUCAAUAAUGAUUGGAAAGGAUUUUAUCGCAGAAAUCUUGAUUAGGAAGGCAUUCCCAUGAGUUGCAAAUCCAAGGAAGUUAUUACAAGCUAAUCGAUUUAUCCCAUUACGAGCUAAAGCCCGCUGGUAUGUUUUUUUUUCUCUGCCAUUCACCAUUGAAAUAUGGAAUACCAUAUUCUUUUUUCAUUCGAUGCACUCUUUAUUGUCUGUUCUAAUUUCUUCGACUACUAAUAAUUUGCAGUUUGAUAUUGCUUUAUCCCACUGCUUUUCCAUUAGAACCAACAAAAGGAGAAAUUCCUUUAGCUGAAGUCCUCAGAUUCAAUACCAAAGUUGAUUGUUUGAUUCUAAACGUAAUUAUCAUGGUUUCUUGUGGUCCUUUAAUGGUGAUAUUAAGAUUUGGGCAAAAUUGGUACAAAAGCUACAUGUCCAAAAUACCUUGGUAGCUUCCCCACUUCUAUUAUCUCUCCAAUUUACUCUUAAAUUGUAUGAUACAAUAUUAUCAAGUUUCAUAGUAGUUAUUUUGGACUCACCUACUCUUAAAUUGUAUGAUACAACAUUAUCAAGUUUCAUAUUAGUUAUUUUGGACUCACCUCUUCAAAGUACCUGUCAUCUGGGUUGGGAGGUAAUUUCUAAAUCUCAGCUCUGCUAUUUGAUGAUCUGACAUUCAUAUUUUACUACAUACUUCUUGUCACUAGAAUUCCUGCUGCAUACGUACUAGCUAGGUAUUUCCUCUUACAAUAAUGGUUGUCAGAAUUGGCAGCAUGAAACUGAUCAGCUCAAUGUAACACUUGAACAAUCUGAGAGUUUUCGUUUACUCCAGGACACCUGACAGUUGACACAUAUGAUAUAUUUAACACAUUGUGUUGAUUGCGCAUAAAGAAGUAGCCCAACAUAUUUCUGCUAAGCACAUGAACAUAUUGGUACAUAUUUACACUUCUUUAUUUUUACAAGGCACUAUGCUACUGAUAGUUUAUUGAUGGGCUGCAGCUGAAUUUAUUUUAAAAACAACUACUAUUUUUUUUUCACCUACGUUGCCAUUCCUCCGUUCCUGCAUGUCCACUUUGUUGCAAAUCCGGAAUUGUGGAGAAACUCUUGAUGUUCAUCAUAUGCCAGUUUAUACUUUUCUAAAUUGCCAAAUUGAAAAGAGGGUUACAUAUUUAUUCAGUCCUAUCUACAGGUUGGAGGUUGUAUGCAGCUAGCUAGGUCACUUUCUUAUCACAACUCACAAGAUUGCCGCUUUAAUAGCUGUAGUUUGAAUCUAGGAUGGUCUGUCACAAGGAGCUUUAAUUACUUCUAUGAAUUUUGUUAAAUUAAAAUUGAUACAUUUGUGGCUUUUAUUGUUUGAGAUUCAAAAAAAAAUUAGGUUGCUGCUCAAGAGCAAAAGGCAAUAACAUGGGGCAGUGAUAAAACUAUUUUUGGGCACAGUUAGUCUGUGACCAUGUCUUCAUAGGCACAGUUAGUUUGUGACCAUCUCUUCAUAUGCAUAUUGCAUAAAUGAAAGGGAAACUCAUUGUUAAAAAAACUGAAAUGGAAACAACUUUUCCAUGGUGAUCCGAUUGACCAUAGCUCGGAUCUUGGAUAUCAAUACUGUAAUUCAUAAAGUGCAGAAUACAUGAUUCAGUUGGAGAAAGGCAAUACAUGAGGAAGAUGUUUUGAACAA